CCUACGGGUGGCAGCAGUAGGGAAUAUUGCUCAAUGGGGGAAACCCUGAAGCAGCAACGCCGCGUGGAGGAUGAAGGUUUUAGGAUUGUAAAACCCUUUUGUUAGAGAAGAAACUGACGGUAUCUAAAGAAUAAGCACCAGCUAACGCCGUGCCAGCAGCCGCGGUAAUACGGAGGGUGCAAGCGUUAAUCCGAAUUACUGGGCGUAAAGGGCGCGUAGGCGGGAUAGCAAGUCAGAUGUUAAAUCCUAUGGCUUAACCAUAGAACUGCAUUUGAAACUGUUAUUCUUGAGUAUGGGAGAGGUAGGUGGAAUUCUUGGUGUAGGGGUGAAAUCCGUAGAGAUCAAGAGGAAUACUCAUUGCGAAGGCGACCUGCUAGAACCUAACUGACGCUGAUGCGCGAAAGCGUGGGGAGCAAACAGGAUUAGAUACCCGUGUAGUC
Molecule: ribosomal RNA, 440 nt
Filed under: uncultured bacterium
Lineage: Bacteria
Description: partial 16S ribosomal RNA
Rfam family: Bacterial small subunit ribosomal RNA
Source: RNAcentral